This 21719-nucleotide long non-coding RNA is filed under the name Ananas comosus (pineapple). RNAcentral's name for it is "long non-coding RNA (ACOM_LNC007739)". The record is from RNAcentral. Lineage: Eukaryota; Viridiplantae; Streptophyta; Magnoliopsida; Poales; Bromeliaceae.
UCGCGCGUUCGAGAAUUAACGAUAGAUUCUCGCUGCUUGUUCCGGAAAUUUCCAGAUACUCAACCGACGCCGGGAGGCAAGGCUCUGGGCUGAACUGAGGACAUUCAUAUAGAAUCAAAUGAGUGAGACACGGAAAAAUGGGAACUCGCUCUCGCCUGCCUUCUUCGUCAUCCACCGUCAAUACCGUCACCCAUUCUCGCAGCACCGGCAUGGAGGACAACCAAAGGCUCGUCAGCGCAGUGAACUUUUCUACGCCCAAAUUUGUUAUUGCGGGCAUAUUUCCUAUAAUUAGUUCUUUAAGAAAAGGAAGUUGCCCUAGCGGCGGGAGUGCGCUGCAUCCGGGCAUACCGGCAAGUCUGAUUUCAACGAGAUUUGGGAGGCACGAGCUAAUCCUAUUCAUCAUCCAGCUAGGAAACUUCCCGCCUCCAUAGCCUUGUAUUUCCAAUUUCUCUAGCUUUUGAUGUGGUUGAAGAUUUUCUAGCACGGUUUCGAUCUCUUCCGCCGGUAGUACAGUACUAUCCGUGCCUUCUUCCGCACUUAAAACGUUCCAUUCCAACUUCAAAGACCGCAGCUUCUUCUCUAUCAAAUUUGCAGCCUUGGCAUCAACCGGACUCGUUACAUUUUCAAGACCCUUGAUCUCCAGCCAGCCGACAAGCUUAAGGUGCUCUAGCUCAGAGAUGCUAGCACAAUGUUCGACGCGGUCUUGCUUGCCGACGACAAAAAGGGGUAAUUUCUGCAAGCUAACUAACUUGCCGAUCCCUCGAGGCAUGCCCUUCAAUUCCGAGCAAUCGGAGUUUAACAAUUCUUUUAGUUUGGUCAGCUUUUGGAUCAUUUUAGGCAGCUCACAUAAUUUUCCACAAUCACUGAUGUCGAGUUUCUCUAAAUGCUGAAGAUCACUUGACGAUGAGGGUAAUGAUAGUAGAGAAUAGCAUUUAGAAAUAUUCAGAACACGCAAGUUUUGAAGGCUCCCAAUGGAUUCAGGUAAUGUCACCAAAGAUCUUAGAUUUGAUAGGUUUAAGUCAUGCAGGUUUUUGAGAUCACAUAACGAUGAGGGUAAUGAUUCUAGAGAAUAGCAUUCAGAAACGUUCAGAAUACGCAAGUUUUGAAGGCUCCCAAUAGAUUCAGGUAAUGUCACCAAAGAUUUUAGACACGAUAGGUUUAAGUCAUGCAGGUUUUUGAGAUCACAUAACGAUGAGGGUAAUGAUUUUAGAGAAAAGCUGUUCGAAAGGUCCAGAAUACGCAAGUUUUGAAGGCUCCCAAUGGAUUCAGGUAAUGUCACCAAAGAAUUUAGACACGAUAGGUUUAAGUUACACAGGUUUUUGAGAGCACAUAAUGAUGAGGGUAACCAUUUUAGACAACAGCACCUAGAAAGGUUCAGAACACGCAAGUUUUGAAGGCUCCCAAUGGAUUCAGGUAAUGCCACCAAAGAGUCUAUAUUUGACAGGUCUAGGUAAUGCAGGUUUUUGAGGUGACAUAUAGGUUCAAGUGAUAUCACAUUUUCGCACAAACUCAAAUUUAGUGCGUACAAAUUCUGAAGGUUGCUAAUGGAGGUCAGAGAUAGGCAACCUCCUAAAUCUAAAAUCCGCAAAUUCGUAAGCCUUCCUAGAAAUUUGGGUAGUGUACGGAUCUUGCGGCAGCUUGAAAGAUUCAAGGUUUGCAAGUUGCAGAGGCCGGUAAUUGAUUUAGGCAAUUUUUCUAUAUCGGUCCCCGAAAGGUCGAGGUAUCUUAAGAGCUUCAACUUACCGAUUGAGCUUGGCAGCAUAGAAAUUUUGGAAUCACAUAAUUCCAACAAGCGUAAGCAUUUUGCCUCGCUAUAAAAGGCCAUAAUAAGUGAACUAGAUUCCCUAAACUGAAGAGCUCGCAACCUCCGCUUUACGGUAAUUGAAACAUCUGGCGUGCAACAACUGUGUAUCGAGACAUAGCGGCAGCCUUCCGUGAUCCUUAUCGACUCUUCUCCACCUAUAACAGCAACUUCUUCUUUUGCCACACCUAUAACAGCAACUUCUUCUUUUGCCACAGAUUGUGCGAGGUCGUGCACUAAAUCAUGCAUACGGCAGAUGGUAACAUUUCUAUAAUUUUUCCCCACGUCUUGAAGAAAAGACAUCCAUAAUAAAUUGUUAAAGUACUUAUUCCCAAUAUCUUCCAUCGAAGUCCAUGUUUCUUGCGAUGAAAUGAAGCCUAAAGCAAUCCAUUGCCGGAUCAAGUCAUCCUUGUUAAUCUUGUAGUCCUUGGGGAAUAUGGAGCAGUAAGCAAAGCACUGCUUCAAAGCCGACGGCAUCUGAAUAUAGCUCAAUUUUAAUGAUGGUAAAAUAAUUCUUUCUUCCGACCUCGAUAUUUCGCUUUCUUCCGACCUCCAUAUUUCACUAUCUCUAAUAGCGGACCAUGCAUCCUCUGUCCUGCUCUUAAAGCGCAUCAUACUUCCUAAAGCAUUCGCUGCUAAAGGCAAGCCACCACACUUCUUAACUAUCUGCUUUCCAAUUUCCACCAAAGUCGGAUAGCCGUUCUCUUCCCCUUCCUUGAAUGCCAGCCUUUUGAACAAUGUCCAACAAUCAUCAUCCGAUAAGCCUUUCACACGGUGUGGUUCGACUGUUCCCAUUAUCUCGGCAACCUUUUCGCUUCGUGUGGUUACUAAGAUUUUACUUCCCUGCCUGCCGUCCUUAAAUACAACCUUCAAACCAUUCAAACCAUUCCACUUCUGCUGAUCUUCGUUCCAUACAUCAUCCAACACCAGCAAGAAUCUCUUCUGGCUAAAGAUCCUGUCGAGAAAACUCGAGGCGGAUUCCAAGGUGUCAAGAUUGCACUCCUCUUUGGUUUCGGUUGCGGAUUUGACCGACCUUGCAAUCGUCUUUCUGUCGAAAUCGGUAGACACGCAGAUCCACACCCGUAGAUCGAAGGGCUGCUGGCCCGUAACCCGCCCGUCGGCGAAGGCCAGCCGAGCGAGCGUCGUCUUCCCCAAACCCCCCAAUCCCACGAUCGGAAUGACCGACACGUUGUGAUCGCAGCCCGUCUCCAGCAGUAGCUUCACAAUUUUCUCUUUAUCAUCAUCUCUCCCAACUAUUUCCUUUUCAUCGAAGAGCGAGGAUGUCUCACGGGGCUUGAACUCAGCCUGCCGACCAGGGCCAGCUUCGGCAAGACCGAAAUCAUUUCUUUGUUUCGCUAUCUUACCAAUCUUUUCUCUGAGCUCUUUCAUCCUGUGUGCCAUCUCGCGCUUAAACUUCAGAUGCAUCGGAUUAGCGCGGGACAGAAAUCCACGUACCUUUUCAGCUUCCGUCCGGAUCUCGUCCAGCAGGUCGUCGGCGUCGUAGGCGGCGUCCUUCAGUUNCAGAUUGUGCGAGGUCGUGCACUAAAUCAUGCAUCCGACAGGUGGUAACCUUUCUAUAAUUUUCCUUCACGUCUUGAAGGAAAGACAUCCAUAAUAGAUUGUUAAAGUACUGAUUCCCGAUAUCUUCCGUCGAAGUCCAUGUUUCAUGCGAUGAAAUGAAGCCUAAAGCAAUCCAUUGCCGGAUCAAGUCAUCCUUGUCAAUCUCAUAGUCUUUGGGGAAUAUGAAGCAGUAAGCGAAGCACUGCUUCAAAGCCGACGGCAUCUGAAUGUAGCUCAAUUUUAAUGAUGGUAAAAUAGUUCUUUCUUCCAACCUCCAUAUUUCGCUUUCUUCCAACCUCCAUAUUUCACUUUCUUCAAUAGCGGACCAUGCAUCCUCCGUCCUGUUCUUUGAAUACAUCAUACUUCCUAAAGCAUUCGCUGCUAAAGGCACGCCGCCGCACUUCUUUACUAUCUGCUUUCCGAUUGCGACCAAACUUGGAUAGUCGUUCUCUUCCCCAUCAUCGAAUGCCAGCCUUUUGAACAAUGUCCAACAAUCAUCAUCUGAUAAGCCUUUCACACGGUGUGGUUCGACUGUUUUCAUUAUCGCGGCGACCUUUUCGCUUCGUGUGGUCACUAAGAUUUUACUUCCCUGCUUGCUGUCCUUAAAUAAAUCCUUCAGUUUCUCCCACUUUUCCUGAUCUUCGUUCCAUACAUCGUCCAGCACCAGCAAACAUCUGAUCUGGCUAAAGAUCUUGACAAGGCACCUCGCGAUGGUGUCCAUGUUGUCAAGAUCAUCACAAUUCUCGACAAGGCGCCUCGUGACAUCACAUUUCUGUCGAGCUGCAGUUAUCACCCGCUUUCCAAUUGUCUUCGUGUCGAAAUCGGUAGACACGCAGACCCACGCCCGUAGAUCGAAGCGCUGCUGGCCCGUAACCCGCCCGUCGUUGAAGGCCAGCUGAGCGAGCGUCGUCUUCCCCAAACCCCCCAAUCCCACGAUCGGAAUGACCGACACGUCGUGAUCGCCGUUAGUCUCUAGGAGAAGCUUCACAAUUUUCUCCUUAUCACCAUCUCUCCCUACUAUUCUCUUUUCGUUGACGACCGAGUAUGUGUCAGGGCGUUUGAACUCAGCCUUCCGAACAGGGCCAGCUUCGGCAAGACCGAAAUCAUUUCUUUGUUUCGCGAUCUUACCGAUCUUUUCUCUGAGCUCUUUCAUCCUGUGUGCCAUCUUGACCUUAAACUUCAGAUGCAUCGGAUUAGCGCGGGACAGAAAUCCACGUACCUUUUCAGCUUGCGUCCGGAUCUCGUCCAGCAGGUCGUCGGCGUCGCAGGCGGCGUCCUUCAGUUUGCGCAGCCAGUGGCGCAGAGCGUGGCUCUCCUUCCCAGCGCUGCUCCGCUCCUCGGCGUCGAGAAGCACCGCCUGGAUCGCCGAGAAGUUGCUUCUGAGAUCGUCCGCGUCGUCCUUGAAGCUCCGCAGCAGCCCGAUUUCGUCCCAGAGAGCGGAGCCCAGCUUGCCCAGCACUCCUUUGACCAGAUCGAAUGCGAUCCCCUCCGCCAUUGCUAUUACCAAAGCAGCUAGCUAGCUAUGUGCUUCUUCUCAAUACAAACGUCCUAGCAGAGAAUAUAUGGGGAUGAUAGGUGGUUGCUCCAAUUAUCGUGCUGCUGCUCUGGUAACUACGCUUGGGAAUCGUUGACCAUUUGCACGCUAGUCCCACGAUCGUCUUUAAUUAUCCUAUUGUACAGAUUAUAAAAAUACGUGCUGUUGCUGCGGAUGAUAUAUAGGUGGUUGCUCCAAGCAGCUAGCCAUCUCGUCCCUCAAUGGCUCAAUCGUUGACCUUCACUUAUUUCCUCUUCCGGAGGGGAAAAAAAAAAACGCAAUGGAGAUGUUUCAGAUUUCUGAAAGAUGCUUAAAUGGUAUUAUUUAAGAAAUUAAAAAAGCAUGUUAAAAAGUUUUGAAUUUGAAUAAUUUGAAUCCGGAUUCAAAAAGGAAUAGUGAAUCUUAAGUUGAACCCCAAGAAAUUUUAAUUUUCAGAUCCNCUCAAAUGACUUAUUCAUGAACAGUAAUAUGCAAUAAAGAAAAAAGAGAGAGAGAAAUAAUACAUAUUCAUCCGACAUAGAAGGAGAGGAAUCUGCAUUAGCAGCUUCACUUAGACAAUUCGAAAGUUUUAUCCGAUGACUCCAUUUUGCCAUUCUGUAUCGAAAAAAUCUCCUAAUAUCAUCUAUGGUCUUCUCGAAAGAGGAUAAAAGAGGGCCUUAGACCAAGAACAGUCUCUUUCCUUUUAUAUAAAUAAAUAAAAUUAGGAAGAGUUCAGAAAUUUUGGGAUGCUAUUGGCUAUGAUAAUAAUAAAAAGACUCACUUUCUAAAGUUAAGCUUUCUAUCCUCCUUUAGGCUAUCAACGAAGCUUUAAUAACCAAGAGGUCUUGGCUUUUAUUACAUGCAUACCAUUAUUUAUUUGGAGUUUGAUAGUCAUGGCUAGCUUUUAUUACAUGCAUACCACUAUUUUGUAUUUGGGAGGUGAGAGGGGAGCAGUUUUGGAAGAUGAGAAGGUAGUAGUUUUGGGGAUUCAUUUAGUUUUAUUUCUUUUAUUAUGUUAUAUGUAUGGAGUUACAUGCAUAUAUAUUUAUAUUUCAAAACAGUUUUGGAAAAUGAAGAGGUAGUAGUUUUGGGAUUCAUUUAGUUUUAUUUUUUUUUAUAAAACUUUUAUUAUGUUAUAUGCAUGGAGUUACAUGUAUAUAUAUAUUUAUAUUUCAAACCAUCAUUAAAAACUUUUAUUAUGUUAUAUGCAUGGAGUGACAUGCAUAUAUAUAUUUAUAUUUCAAAUCAUCAUUAAAAAAUAUGAAAAAUCUAAAAAAAGAGAGCUUGCCAUGUCAUCAUUCUUAUUGAGGAUUCAUAUAGAGUUAUAGAUAUAUGCAGAGUGGGUUGGAAUGCUUAUGGAAGCACGGAGCCUCCCGUGCUUCCAAAUUGUUUUCGAUGUUCGGACUUUCGAAUCGACGAUCGGCUCCGUUAGAGUGGAUCUAGAUAUUUGAAAUACCUAGAAAAUAAAUUUUGUGAUUUUUCGAUAUCAUUUGCCUAAUGAUCGAAGAGGUUCAAAAUCAAUAAUUUUAAUGGCCUUGGUGAGCUGUUUGCAAGUUUAACGGUCUAGAAAUAUUCAAAUCACAUGAAAUUUUGAUAGAAAAUUUUUUAUACCAUAUAAAACAAGAUCAAUAACUUUGAUCUAAAUUUUUAAUGUCAUAUCAUCACAUUUUGUGAGAUUUUUAUUUUCAGCCGUUGAUUUUGAGCCCCUUCGAUUACUAGACAAAUGAUAUUGAAAAAUCACAAAAUUUAUUUUCUAGGUACUUCAAAUACUCUAGAUCAAGUCUAACGGAGCCGAUCGUCGAUUCGAAAGCCCCAACAUCGAAAACAAUUUAGAAGCACGGAGGCCUCCGUGCUUCCAUAAGCAUACCAGCCGCACUCUAUACAUGCAUAAAUAUAUGUUAAAUAAAGGUAUAUGAUAAGCAUCUAGUUGGCGAAAAAUUCUAAAAUGCAACGGGUAUAUUGGUGACGUGGCAUAACAAACCAAUCAAAUAUCUUUUUUUAGGGGUAUAUGUCCCAUCAUGAUUGUAAAAAAAUAUCUUUAUUGUAUUUUUGUUUGAAAAGAAGGAAUGUGAUUGGCUUGUUAUUGAUAACGUGGUGCAAAUGUGAUAGUGUAGAAUUCCUCAUGACUAGCUUAAUCGGAGAUGACCCUCGUAUAAUUGAAAGGGCGUAGUUAACAGGGUACCUAAGAGUACCCGGAAAGCGUAAACCCAUUUUUAUCUCUGAUGAUUGUUAUCUAUUGUGCUAUAUAUCUCUUUACUCGUUAUUAAAGAAUAUAUAGUUCAAAAAAAAUACAAAAUAAAAUAAGGGGAUAAAAAAAGUUGCGCCGUCAUAAAUUCUCACGUUCACCUUCACGUUUUAUUUAUUUAUUUAUUUAAAUUUUUCGUUUUUCCUAUUGUUCAUUUUUCGGGAAAACAAACGCGAAAUAAUUAUUUUCUCCAAAGACUUAAGCUGAUAAAUAAUUAUGUUUUUACAUUUCCUCACGUCUAAGUUCGACGUGGAGUUGAAUUAGCCGAGAGAAAAAUUAAUUAGGCUAGGAGCCUGGUAUAACUCAACCUUAGAAUUUUCUUAUUUGAUACCGUGUUAAAUUAUAUGAAACAAUAAUUUUCUUCAAAAACGUAAGUUCAUGGGGAAUAAUGUUUUUAUAUUUUUAUGUUUAACAAUCUAGCAUACAUGUAUCAAUGCCCUAUAAGGAUGCUUUGCUGAAUCCUGGACAGGGGCAGACCUACUGAGAGGCCGACAAUGGUCAUGGCCCCCUCAACUUUUUGAAAAUUACACAAGAGUUCCUAACUAUGACAUAGAAAAAACUUAAAUAUUAUAAAUUUUAGGGGCCAAAGUGAAAUCUUUUUGUAAAAAGUUUGUGCUGGUAUAAUAUAAAUAUAUUAUUUAUUCUCUUUAGUAACCGGAAUUAUUUACAAUUUACAAAGUAGGAUACUCUACAGUCACAAUGCAAAAGAAGGAGGAUGCCUUUCAGAUACAAAGCCACCUGCUGAAUUUCGAACUAAAAGUUGUAGAACUUACACAAAAGGAGGAUGCCUUUCAGAGUCUGCAAAGAGCUUAUAGUCUGUUUAUUGUUUUUAUUUGUUGCUACUCCUUUAUUUUGCUUUUUUAUUUUGCUUUGGUUUUUGUUCACUUUUGUUGUCACUUGAAGUAAAUCCUAAUGCAUCCAAGAUGCAUGUUGAUGGCAGCGAGAGAAAUGAAACUCUAGUAGGAUGAUGAAUCAAAACUUCAUGAAGGAGGAAUUUUUUUUUUAGACAUCAAUGUUAUUAAUCAAUUCUCUUCUAUUUAUGCACUCAUUCCAUUUAUGAUUUUGCAGCUUUACUAUUAUGCAGCUUUUCUUAAACUGUGAAGUGUAUGCCCAAUGAUGAUUCUACAUCAAAAGGCAAAUAUGUACGGAUUGCUUGAGACCAAUUUAGAUGCUAGCGUAGAACUAAAAGCAAUCUUAAAUACUACAGUUAUUUAGAAGUUUUAAGAUUGAAACUGUUUCAAUUUUUAACUUAGCUGCUAUUAGUCUAAACUCGUCAUCCAUCGACACCAAUAUCAGGUACAUCAACAGGAGAAGCAACUGCAGCAACAUCUCAAUUUCAAAAAAAAAAAAAAAUAGUAUUAAAGAGUGUCCAAAAUAAGCUGCUAACUCCAAAACUACUCAGAUUGAAGCAAAGAUCCAUCCAAUACUUAAAAUGUUUUUUUUUUAAAAAAAAACACCUAAUUAACUUGAACCAUUUAUUUGAAUAUUUUUGCAUAACACCUGGCUUGAACCAUUCAAUUAAUUUUUCGACGAAACACCUUGCUUUUGAAGCAUACAUAUCCAACAACGCAUUUCACUACAUAAUGCAUCAAUCCAUAACAAACUAUAAAUAUCACGAAUGGAUCCAUGCGAUACAUAAAUGCACUUGGUAGUUCAUACAUAAACAUCUCUUGCUAAUUAAGGCUUUGUCUCCUUUUUUCGCUCCACAAUUAUAUGCAGCCAUGUUUCUUUCUAUCUAUUGAGAGCUCAAAUUUCCUUUAUCUUAAUCAACCAUAUUCGGAUCUAGGUGUGGGGGGGAUGCUCUGUUCUUCACGACGAAGAAAGACCCCCCGCUUUGCAGAGGUCAUAUUGUUGUUGUUGUUGUUGUGUGUCUUAUUUUUGGGGAUAAAAGUGUAUGUAAUAAAUCUGAAAGUUUUGUCAUUUAAAAUUAAUUACCUAAUAUUUAAAAACUUUAAAUUAAUUUUACUCCCUAUUCUUUAAACGCUUUACAAUUUUGUUUUAUCAAAAAUCACUGCCCACACCUGGUGCAUCCAAACAGGUGUGCACCAGGGUUUUAUUCAUCCUUCAUUUUUUUCUUAUUUUAUUCCAGCCAUUUUAAUUUGUAAGUAUAAAAAAUUACAGACUUUGUUUGUGGCACCUGGUGGUUAGAAGCAAUAUUUCUAUAUUUUGAAUGGUCCAAAAACUUAGCUUUAAAGCCCUUUUAAUCUAUCCUCCUCUGAAGCUAUAAAAUUGUGUUUAAUUAUUACUGAAGAAACUAUGCGGUUAUAUUUGUGCGAUACCUUAAUAUUUCAUCCAUAUGUUUGAUUUUCAUAGAAUAUUUUUUCCGAUUGUUACAUUGAAAAUAUAGUAUACACCAAGGAUCAAUUAUGGCAUACUGUAUUUUCUAAAGGAAAAAAAAAAAGAAAAAAAAAGGCAGAGUGCACAUGCACUGGGUAUAUAAUUGGCAAUAAUUUCAUGAAACUCAAAUCAGAAAGAAUAGACAACAAAUCAAAAAAUUUUAAAAAUUUCACGGUUAUAUUUCCAAUAAAAUAAAAUUUAAGUUAAUUUCGUACAAUUUUCCUUUUUGUACUGUUGGUCCCAAAUGUUAGGUACUCGAAAAUGCUUUAUGGCAAUAAUAAUAAUAAUGAUAAUUUAACAUAUUUUGAAGUAAAUAUCUCUUUUAAUUUUCCGGAUUUCCUGAAUAAAAAGUAAAAAUUUAUAUAACUUACCCCAACUGUCAGUUAUUUUAAUAUAAUUAUCUAAUCUUUAAAAAAUUUAAUUUGCUAUAUAAUCUUUUAAUUUAUUUGAUUUAAAUCAAACUAAUGACUCUUUAGUUUUAAAAUUUAAACAUAUUUUUAAUUACGCAGAUAUAAAUUUAUGAAAAUGAAUAAUUAUUCUAAAUUUUAUAUUGAGAAAGAAAUCAAAUCACUUAAAUCAAACAAAUUAAAAUGUGCAACAGCAUAAAUCGAUAUUUCCAUUUAUACCACAUGUUUUGUGAAAACCUAACCGGAAAACAGCUCACUUCCGUUGACUCAGUUUGAUUUUAGUAAUAAAUUGAUUUCGGAUUUGGGGAAUUAAAAACUAAAAAUCUCGCGAAAAGCAAAAUAAUAAAAUUUUAGUACUUCAAUAUAUAUCAGCUUCAGAUCCAAUCAAAUAAAAGAAAGGGCUUUUUUUGCAAAUAGCCCCCUCACAAAUAUUUAUUUUAAAAUUGGUCCUGUCAAAAUUUAAUUUGCAAAAAUGAUCCUGAUCCUGCCACGCAAGCGCCACCUCAGCGCCACGCGGGCGGGGCUGGGCCAGGUGUUUAAGUUAAACACGGUGAAUUAUUCACCGUGUCCAAUACAAAUAGGUAUUUGUAUUAGACACGGUGAAUGAUUCACCGUGUCCAACAUAAAUAGGUAUUUGUAUUGGACACGGUGAAUGGUUCACCGUGUCCAAUACAACUAUUUGGGACUUGGCCAUUUUUUGGCUAAGUAGGUAUUUGUAUUGGACACGGUAAAUGAUUCACCGUGUUCAACAUUGCCCCAACCCCGCCUGCGUGGCGCUGACGUGGCGCCCAUGUGGAAGGGACAAGGCCAUUUUUGCAAUUUAAAUUUUGACAGGGCCAUUUUUGAAAUAAAAUUUUUUCAGGAGGCUAUUUGCAAAAAAAAGCCCUAAAAGAAAUGAUAAAAUAAAAAUAAAAAUGUAUGGAAACCCUCUCAAGUGCAGUAUAUAUAUAUAUAUAUAUAUAUAUAUAGAGUUGAGCUAGAAUACUCUCGAUAGUAAACAGGGUGUUUUACUAUCGAGUUGUUUUCGAUGAUAGAGCUUCCANUCUAACUUUUCGCCAUGUUUAUUAUAUUAAAUCCUUAUAGAAUUCAAAAGGAUACUUUAACCUUUUUGAUAAAAUAUUUUAAAAUUUAAUAAAAAAAUAUUUUUUUAUUUUAUGAAACAUUUUGCACUUCGUUUAACGGAAGAGACUAAAUUCUAAAAGGAUCUAACAAAUCUUCCAAAGAAAAUUUCUUAUAUCAAAAUCGAAUUAAAAUCGAAAUUCAUAAAGCCCAAUUGGCCACUUUCAAAGUGCAGUGUAAUUUAGAUAAUAUAUAAUAUCUUUUUACCUCCGGAUAAUAGCUAGGUACAUAUACUUGUGCUCUCCUCGCUAACCAAUCUUCUUCUCCACCUUCACUGAGCUCUCUUCCUCCUGUGGCGAGCUGCUCGCUUGUUUUUUGUACCAGUAAGAACUACACCACAACAACACAAAAUGGUUAUUUUUUAUCCGACGCUCAUGCAACAUGUGCUGUACAUUUUACUUAGACAUUUUAAUAAUGUAUGAUAUAUAAGAUACCUAAUUUCAAUUUGUAAAGAAAAAUAUCCCAGAAUUCAAAUAGUAUAUCAACAAUAUCACCGAAAAUAAUUACUUUGUAAAUACUAUAUAUCGUUCAAGUAGAAAUUUUCUGGCAUCUCAAAUCGCUACAAAUUAAGAAAAGAUUAGAAUUUCAUUAAUUAGUCUAUGCACAUGCAAGAGACCACUUGAAAAUUUUUCCAGGAAACCAACCAUGUUUUCGAAUAUCUGAAUUGCACUUUUGAUAUUGAAAUGUAGUUUAAUGUGUUUUCAUUUUGCCGCAGUACGUUUUAAAUAGUUUUACUUGAAAAUCCUAUGAUUUUAUAUAUAUAUAUAUAUAUAUAUAUAUAUAUAUAUNUUUUAUUUUGCUUUGGUUUUUGUUCACUUUUGUUGUCACUUGAAGUAAAUCCUAAUGCAUCCAAGAUGCAUGUUGAUGGCAGCGAGAGAAAUGAAGCGAGUAGGAUGAUGACUCAAAACUUCAUGAAGGAGAAAUUUUUUUUAGACAUCAAUGUUAUUAAUCAAUUAAUUCUCUUCUAUUUAUGCACUCAUUCUAUUUAUGAUUUUGCAGCUUUACUAUUAUGCAGCUUUUCUUAAACUGUGAAGUGUAUGCCCAAUGAUGAUUCUCCAUCAAAAGGCAAAUAUGUACGGAUUGCUUGAGACCAAUUUAGAUGCUGAGCUAAAACUAAAAGCAAUCUUAAAUACUAUUAUUAUUUAGAAGUUUUAAGAUUGAAACUGUUUCAAUUUUUAACUUAGCUGCUAUUGGUCUAAACUCAUCAUUCAAAGACACCAGUAGCAUCACCCAGUACAUCAACAAGAGGAGCAACUGUAGUAACAACUCUAUUUCAAAAAAUAAUAUUACAAAGUAUCCAAAACAAGCUGUUUACUUCAAAACUGCUCAGAUUGAAGCAAAGAUCCAUCCAAUACUUAACAAGUAUUUUUUUAAAAAAAACCCUAACUUGAACCAGAAUCUUUUGGCAACACACCUAGCUUAAACCAUUCGAUUAAUUUUUUGGCGAAACACCUAGCUUUUGAAGCAUACGUACACAUUGCACUGUUUAAUGCAUUCAUAACAAACUGCAAAUAUCACUAAUGAAUCCAAACAGUACAGGUAGGAAAGUAUAACCGUUACCAAGUUACCAUACAUAAAUGCACUUGUUAAUUUAUCGUACAUAAAACAUCUCUUGCUAAUUAAGGUUUUAUCACCUUUUUUAUUUUAAAAAAGCCUUUGCUCCACAAUUGUAUGCAGCAAGUUUUUGUUCUAUCUAUUGGAGAGCCAAAAUUUUCUCUCUUAAUCAACUAAAAUCGUAUCUUGGUGCACGGGAUGCCCUGUUCUUUAUGAGAAAGAAAGACCCUCUUUGCAGUGGUCAUGUUGUUGUUGUUGUUGCUGUGUUUUAUUUUUGGGUAUAAAAAUGUACUUAAUUAAUCUGAACUUUCAUAAUUUGAAAUUAAUUAUCUAAUAUUUAAAAAUUUAAAUUAAUUUGACUAUCUAUUCUUUAACGCUUUACGAUUUUGUUUUAUGAAAAAUCACUGCCUACACCUGGUGCAUCCAAACAGGUGUGCACCAAGGUUUUAUUCAUCCUUAAUAUUUUCUCUUUAUUUUAUUUCAUUCAUUUAAUUCGUAAGUAUAAAAAAUUGCAACUAACCCGACUUUCUUUAGGAACGUAGUGGUAAGAAGCAACAUUUUCAUAUUUUGAAAGGUCAAAAAAUUUUAAAGCUGCUUCUAAUCUUUUCUCCUCCGAAGCUAUAAAAUUGUGCUUAAUUGUUAUUAAAGAACUAUGCGGUUAUAUUUAUGCGAUACUUUAAUAUUUUAUCCACAUAUUUAAUUUUUAUAGCAUUUUUUUUUUCCCGGUUGUUAAGCUGAAACUAUAGUAUAAAUCAAGGAUCAAUUAAUAGUAAUAAUAAUAAUAAUAAUAAUAAUAAUAAUAAUAAUAGUUUAACAUAUUUUGAAGUAAAUACCUCUUUUAAUUUUCUAGAUUUCUUGGAUAAAAAAGUNAAUAAUAAUAAUAAUAAUAAUAGUUUAACAUAUUUUGAAGUAAAUACCUCUUUUAAUUUUCUAGAUUUCUUGGAUAAAAAAGUCUAAAUUUAUAUAACUUGCCCCGACUGUCAGUUAUUUUAAUCUGAUUAUCUAAUUUUAAAAAAUUUCAAUUUUGCUACAUAAUCUUUUAAUUUAUUUGAUUUGAAUCAACUAAUGAUUCUUUAGCUUUAAAAUUUUAAAUGUAUUUUUAAUUAUGCAAAUAUAAAUUUAUUAAAAUAAAUAAUUAUUCUAAAUUUUAUAUUAAAAAAGUAAUCAAAUCGCUUAAAUCAAAUAAAUUAAAUUGUGCGGCAACAUAAAUCUAUAUUCCCAUUUAAACCACACGUUUCGUAAAACCAAACGGGAAAAGCACCUCAAGUUUGAUUUUAGUAAUAAAUUGAUUUCAAAUUUGGGGAAUUAAAAACUAAAAAUCUUGCGAAAAGAAAAUUAAUAAAAUUUUAGUACUUCAAAAUAUAUCAUCUUUGGAUCCAAUCAAAUAAAAAAAAUGAUAAAAUUAAAAUAAAAAUGUAUGGAAACUCUCUCAACUGCGGUACAUAUCUAAUAGGUUCAACUUGCAUGCAAAAAGAACCUCUAAUUCAACAAGGGCAUAACAUACACAAUGUAUACAUACUAGUAAUAAACUCAUUUACUAAAAAUUAAUGUACCCUUUAAUAUCCGUAUUAAGAAAUAGCAACAUUUUGUUUAUUCAAACCAAACAAUCUUUUUUAGGCUCAUAACAUGUAUAGAGAACACUAUAAAAUUACAAACAAUCAAACCAAAUUACAAUUCUUGUCCGGAAAGCUAAAUAGCACCAACUUGAAAGAGAAGGCCACAAGUCCAUGAAUAAAAACUCUCACCGGUGCAUGUAGAUAUAUAAAAUUUGUUUUUUUCUGGAAAAAAAAGGGGAAAAAAAAAAGCUCUUCUCAAAGGGAAAUAGUGGUCACCAAAUAAGCUGAAAGAGAAUUAUUUUUAUGUGAGCUAUACUACACUUUGAGAUAAAUAACUGAACUUCAAAAAAUUUAAUUCUACUCUCUAACUUUUCUCCAUGUUUAUUAUAUUAAAUCCUUAUAGAAUGCAAAAGGAUACUUUAACCUUUUUGAUAAAAUAUUUUAAAAUUUAAUAAAAAAAUAUUUUUUUAUUUUAUGAAACAUUCUGCACUUCGUUUAACGGAAGAGUAAAGGAUCUAACAAAUCUUUCAAAGAAAAUUUCUUAUAUAAAAAUCGAAUUAAAAUCGAAAUUCAUAAAGCCCAAUUGGCCACUUUCAAAGUGCAGUGCAAUUUAGAUAAUAUCUAAUAUCUUUUUACCUCCAGAUAANACACACACACACACACACACACACACACACAUAAUAGGUCCAUCUUGCAUGCAUGCAAAAAAGAACCUCUAUUUAAACAAGGGCAUAACAUACACAAUAUACUAGUAAUAAACUCACUUACUAAAAAUUAAUGUACCCUUUAAUAUCCGUAUUAAAAAAGUAGCAACAUUUUGUUUAUUCAAACCAAACAAUCUUUUUUAAGCUCAUAAUUGUGUAGAGAACACCAUAAAAUUACAAACAAUCAAACCAUAUCAUAAAAUAGUACAUUCAGAAAUUUAAUUUAUAUCACGAAAAUACAUAUAUAUAUUAACCGACAAUAGCACACUACAACUCUUGUCCGGCAAGCUAAACAACACCAACCUGAAAGAGAAAACCACAAGUCCAUGAAUAAAAACUCUCACCAUUGCAUGUAGAUAUAUAAAAUUUGUUUAUUUUUGGCAAAACUAAGAAAAAAAAACCUCUUCUCAAAGGGGAAUAGCGGUCACCAAAGAAACUAAAAGAGAAUAAUCCUUACGUGAGCUAUACUACGCUUUGAGAUAAAUAACUGAACUUUAAAAAAUUUAAUUCUACUCUCUAACUUUCCGUCAUGUUUAUUAUGUUCCUUAUAGAAUUCGAAAGAAUACUUAGCAUUUUUUGAUAAAACAUUUUAAAAUUUGAUAAAAAAAUAUUUUUUAUUGUAUGAAAUAUUUUGCACUUUGUUUAAUGGAAGAGACUAAAUUUUAAAAGAAUCUACAAAUCUUUCGAAGAAAAUUUCUUUUAUCAAAAUGAGCAUAUAUAAGGUUUACGAAUUAAAAUCGAAAUUCGUAAAGCCCAGUUGCCCGCUUUCAAAGUGCAGUAUAGUUUAUGUAAUAUUUAAUAUCUUUUUACCUCCAAAUAAUAGGAACAUAUACUUAUGCUCUCCUCGCUAAUCAAUUCGAUCUGCUCCAACAAUUCCUCCAACUCUUCUUCUCCUCCUCUGACGAGCUGCUCACUAUGUCCUCAUAUCGGUAUUCCCUGCACCACAACAACGCAAAAUAGUAAAUUUUUUAUCCGAAGCUCGUGCAGCACGUGCUGUACAUUUUUCUUACACUUUCUAAUAAUGCAUGAUAUAUAAAAUACCUGAUUUCAAUUUGUAAAGAAAAAUAUUCCAGGACUCGAAUAGUGUAUCAACAAUAUGAUAGAAAAUGAUUACUCGGUAAAUACUAUAUAUCUUUUAAGUAGAAAUUUUCGGCAUCUCAAAUCGCUACAAAUUAAGAAAAGAUUAAAAUUUCAUUAUUUAGCCUAUAGACGUGCAAGAGACCGCUUGCAAAUUUUUUCAGGCAACAAACCAUGUUUUCGAAUAUCUUAGCUCCACUUUCACAUAGUUGAUAUUGAAACUGUGCAACAGCAAGCUGCUAUUGUUUCAAUUGUACAAAUUAGUAAAGUUGCAAUUGCUGCAAAAUUUGUGGAAAGAUAAUUCCCUCGUGUAAUCUAUGAACUACUUGUACAAGUAAAAUAUUUUGUUGAAUAGUAAUUUAGCAUAUCAAAACAGGAAGGAAUAAGAACAGGGUAAAACUAAACUUAAAAAUUAGAAUCACUCUGAAUAUAAAUAAAACAAAAUCUCACAAAUACAUAAAUGGAAGGUAGAAAUCAAAAUUAAUUCUCGAGAAAGUGAGGAUUGGAGAUUGUGACUAGCGAAUGGUNUUUUUUAUCCGACGCUCGUGCAACAUGUGCUGGACAUUUUGCUUAGACAUUUUAAUAAUGUAUGAUAUAUAAGAUACCUAAUUUCAAUUUGUAAAGAAAAAUAUCCAAGGACUCGAAAAUAAUUACUUUGUAAAUACUAUAUAUCGUUCAAGUAGAAAUUUUCUGGCAUUUCAAAUCGCUACAAAUUAAGAAAAGAUUAAAAUUUCAUUAAUUAGUCUAUGCACAUGCAAGAGACAACUUGAAAAUUUUUCCACGAAACCAACCAUGUUUUCGAAUAUCUUAAUUGCACUUUUGAUAUUGAAAUGUAGUUUAAUGUGUUUUAAUUUUGCCUCACUACGUUUUAAAUAGUUUUACUUGAAAAUCCUAUGAUUUUAUAUAUUUUUAGCAAGAACUUGCGGUCAAGUAAAAACUAAAGUGCUAAAAUUAUUUAUAAACUAUGGGAUAAUAAAAUGAUAUAUUUUAUAAAAUAAAAGGUGUCCGCCUAUAUCUAAAUAUAUUCUUUCAAAUAGUACUAUUAUGCUUUAUAAAAUAUACUACUUUACUAUCUUAUAAUUUAUAAAUUUUAGUACUUCAAUAUUUUUUGAUAGUAAGUCCUUACGGUGGAAUAAAGACACAACAAUAAAAUAGCAAAGUGAAAUAUUUUAUAGCAAAUGAAAAUGCACCGAGCCACGUCGGGGUGGGGCUAACCGAAGUUUUUCCAUCUGGAUUUAAAAAUAAAAAUUAAAGAAAGAGGUUGAUAUGCUAGCUACAAUAGAAUAUUAAGGUGCUAUCCAGCUAAUUAAUUAAAGAGUAGUCAAAAUAUGCUGCAUAAAUGAAACAAGAAAUAUUCACCAGUAGCUAUUAGAAGGGACUAUUAUUUUUUACUAGAAAUAUAAUAUUUUCUCUUUGAAUAUUCGUAUCUGCUGGCCAUGAAAACUUUCACCAGGUAUCAAUUACAACAAUUUGGAUAAAAGGCCGUGAAGCAAAGAAAAAUUCGGCGAAUUGGGGGUCAGGAGAACCAAAGAAUGCUGAGGCCACAAGGAGAUUGGAAGAAAAAGAAGGCCGUGAAGCGAGUGGUCUGGGCAGAUGAAGUCGGUAGGGAGUUAUUGGUGAGCAAGGUUCCCAUUAAUGGCGGAGUUUCGACGUUACCUGAUACUACAAGUUCCUUGGCUCGAGACGCACUUGAAGGAGUUACUGCUGAGUUACAAAGAGGAUACGGGGUAGGUGAGGGCGAUUCACCUGGCGAUCCUUGGAUGAGAAAUGUAAGGAGGGUGGGUGGAAGGUCCAAUUCUGUAUUUACUGAGGGUAGGUCCUAUAAAGAGGCGCUUCUGAGGGGUUCGGGACCACAACCCUCCAAGCCACCACCAAGUUCACAACACUCUUCCACCUUCUGGAGUACGAGGAGUAGCAAGUCCAGGAGAAGUGGCGGCAAGUGUUUCCGGUGCCUUGCUUCGGAUCACUGGGUAGCUGACUGCCGUGACCCUAUCAAGUGCAUCAGGUGCCACAAGUAUGGGCAUCGCGCCUCUAUCUGCAAGGAGAAAGCCGGACCAACUAGAGACAGGAUGAACAGGAUUCUACAGAGGCGAGAACGUACGCCGAGAGUGUACGUCCCUUAUACUCAAGAGUUUCUGCAAAGGAGGGAUCAACGCCGGAACGCGGUGCUGGCCGAUGUGAUCCAGCCGGCGAACUUAGGCCCUGAACCCACCUCUACCAUUGCCAAUGCGCUCGCCCGAAGGUUCGGGGGCUACACCCAAGACUUUCCGGUCUCCCGUUUUCGGGAGCGAGACUUUGCAAUUUUCCUCCCAGAAUGGGUGUCAGCGGAGGUGAUCGCUAGGAGGGAAAUACUCACCUUGGACGGCUUCUGGCUGCGAUGUUUUGCGUGGGGUCCUUACCGAGACGCGUGCCCACACCGAAUGGUAUAUCGAGCGUGGAUCAGGCUGAUUAACCUCCCAUUUGAAUGCUGGACCGUCCCUCAGGUGGCGGCGAUUGUGUGUGGGUUCGGAAGGUUCGUCAAGGCCGACGAGGUGACGAAGGCGAUGACGGACCUUCGGGCUUUCCGCUGCCAGAUUAUCCUGGACACACUGACCGACAUCCCGCAAAAUCUGUCGAUCGUCCUCGGAGAGGAACGUUUCCCGGUGAUGAUUCAUCUUGAAAGUUGGGAGCGGGCCAUCGACAAAGCUCGCGGUGACCCACCUGGCCCACCACCGGGGGGAAACGGCGAUGGCAACCAACAGGGUGAGGGGGAUCGGCCUGACAUUCAGGCCAACAUCGACCAAGAGAUGAACGAGGAAGCAACUGGUGAGGACGAAGGCGAGAUUGACGAUGACGGACCAGUAACUGCGCCGAGUCGACGUACAUCAAGCGGACUAGAGAAGCCGACAACCCUGUGUUCUCUGCCGUUCCGACGCUCCUCGCUUGGGCUGUUCGGGCCGCCUGCGCCGAGCCGCCGUUUAUCGGGUGGACCAGAGAAGCCAACACCGCAGUAUACUCUGCUGAUUCGGCGCCCCUCGCCUGGGCUGUUCGGGCAGGCGGUGACGACUGAACGGCGAGGGGGGGGAGCGGGCUGAGGUUGAUGAGGUCCGGAGGGGGCAGGCAGAGGUUGACGAGGGCGGAUCUGAGAAUAGGCCGAACCGCCGAUCGUCAGGUGGAUCUGAGGAGUCGCCGCCGCUGCGUUCGCCUGGGCUAGUAGGGCGGGCGGGGAGGCCUGGAACUCCUGUUUGGUCGCGCCAUCCACAGUGUUCUUCGCAAUGCUCCCCGCCUGCUCGGCGACCGCCGGUGAGGGCGCUAGGCUGGCUUCGGGACUGGCGAGUGCGAGGACCGAGGAGGGCCAGUGCAGGGCGCGUCAACCUAGGGCGCCGCCUGGGCGAUGGAUCAUGAAAUCCGGCGCUGUCUCACAGAGGGGAUUCGAAGGGAUGGGUGUAGUUCACUGUAUUCGGGGUCUUUCCCCACCCUUGCCAAAUUUAAUUAUGGCAGGGGUAGGGUCGGAUAGCUAUGAGAUGGGUAGGCCUUUAAUGCUUUGUAGGGGAGAUCAAGUGCUUCUGUGGGUAGGGGGAGCUCUUUUCAAAGUGGUGGUCAGCCCUUCUUUGGGAUUGCGUACCAACCUUGAGAACUGGGCCUCCUCUAUUGGGGUCAACAGGGGUGCAUUGCCAGCUAGUACACCGGGUGUUGGGGUGGCGGCCCACGACUCGAGCCUGGGGCUCGUGGACUGGUUCGUGACGACUGGAGGAGAUCAGAAUGGCCAAAGCUCUGUCCUUGGCGAGUGCACUAAGUCGUUGACUGAGGAAGGGGACGAAGCUGACCAUGCCAAGGAAAAGAGGUCCAACGGCUGGGAAGGGAUCUGGGCCUACUCCGGGAAAGGGUUAACCUCGUCGCCGAAGAAGACUUUAAUCACCCCUACUCGAGCUAGUGAGCGGCUCGCCUGUGCUGACAGGAUCCCUAUCCUUCGCAAAGCUCUAAACAGGAAGAAGCGGCUUCUAGAAGGAGGAGGUGGCAGGGUCUCCGAGAGCACGCUGCGGAAGAUAGUGCAUAAGAGCAAGCGUUGCGGGGUGAGACUGGACGGAACGGAGGCGAUGAACUUCGCCGAGUUUGAGAGCUUCUGAGCUCUGGAAGGGGCUAGUGGUCUAGGUUGUGGACACCUUUUGGUUUUAUUUUGGGAGUCGUGUCUACGUUAUUGUUAUGCUUAGUAUCUGUAGCUGGAAUGUUAGAGGGCUUAAUGAUCCCUCCAAACGCUUUGUGGUGCGGGAUGUAAUUUCGAAUUUACGCAACUCCGUAGUGUGUCUCCAGGAAUCUAAGGUUAAUCAUGUUUCGGGGUCUUUCCUCCGUAGCUUGGCAGGGUCCUUCAUCGACAAAUGUGUUUUUCUUGAAUCUAACGGUGCGUCCGACGGACUGAUUACUUGUUGGAGUUCCCGGGUCUUCAGUUGUAAAGAAGUAAUCGUCAGAAACUAUUCCAUCUCGGUUCUAUUGGAAUUGGUUAGCUGCGGAACACGUUUUUUUGUCACGAAUGUUUAUGGCCCGGCUUCUUGGGACGGCAAGGAGGACUUCUUUUCGGAAUUAUUGCUCUUGAAGGACUGUUGUAAGGGUAAAUGGGUAACGUGUGGGGAUUUUAAUUGUACGCGAGGACCACACGAGCGUAACGGAAAGACCUGGAGCUCGAGAGCGACGGUUUUAUUUAACAAUCUCAUCAGGGACCUCGAAUUAAUUGAUCUCCCCAUGACAAAUCAAGCGUUCACCUGGUCCAACCUUCAGAAGCCCCCGACCUUGGCUAGACUGGACCGAUUUCAUGUGUCAACUGAUUGGGAUCAGGAAUUUCCUUCUUCAAAAGUUAUCGGUCUCCCCAGAGUGGCCUCAGAUCACAGUCCCAUCCUUUUAUCGGUCACCAACCCUACGAAGAGGACGAGAUUGAUUUUCCGUUUUGAACAUGCCUGGCUUAACCACGAGGACUUUAGGUCCAAGCUGCCAGGAUGGUGGGAGGAGGGGCGUAAGCAUAGUUCAGCUGUUCUAACUUUCACCGCAAAAUUGAGACACUGCCGUAGAAGAAUUAUACAAUGGUGUACCCACGAAUUCUAUAGCAUUAGACGAGUUAAGAACAAACUCUUGGAAGACAUUCAGAACAUCGACAAAGAGAAAGAAACGAAUCUUUUAACCCAGGAGUUAGCCGUUACGAGGGAUGAGCUUAAGACAAAACUUGCCGCGGUGCUUAAAGACGAGGAAGUGCUAUGGAAAAGCAGAGCGAAACAACAUUGGCUACGGGAAGGUGAUAGCAAUACCAAAUUCUUCCAUGCCGUAGCCAACGGCCACAAAAGAACGAAUAGAAUUGACACUCUAGAUGAAGAAGGAAGGGUGUAUCAAUCGGAAGGCGAGAAGCAGAAGUUAAUCUUACAGAAGUUUAAGAAUCUCUUCACCCCUGAAGACUGGGCACCAUCCUCUUUUGGAGAUUGGAGUGAGCUCUUUUCAACAAGGCGGGUCGACUCUAGUAACCAUACGCACAUUACGAGACCUUUCGGUGUUGAAGAAGUGAAACAGGCUGUUUUCCAGCUAGGACGUGAUAAGGCGCCAGGGCCAGAUGGGUUCCCUCUGUGCUUCUACCAAAGCUUUUGGGAUACUCUUAAGGACGAUAUCAUGAACAUUUUCCACGAGAUGUUUGAGGGCACGCUAAACACCGNAGAUUCUCCUUGCUUGUUCUGUGAAUGGCCAGAUACGCAACCGACGCCGGGAGGCAAGGCUCUGGGCUGAACUGAGGACAUUCAUAUAGAAUCAAGUUAGCGAGACACGGAAAAAGGGGAACUCGCUCUCGCCUGCCUUCUUCGUCAUCCACCGUCAUUACCGUCACCCAUUCUCGC